Molecule: ribosomal RNA, 314 nt
Filed under: uncultured bacterium
Lineage: Bacteria
Description: bacterial SSU rRNA
Rfam family: Bacterial small subunit ribosomal RNA
Source: RNAcentral
GAUGAACGCUGGCGGCGUGCCUAACACAUGCAAGUCGAACGAAGCACUUGAGAUCUUCGGAAGGAUAGUGACUGAGUGGCGGACGGGUGAGUAACGCGUGGGUAACCUGCCUCAUACAGGGGGAUAACAGUUAGAAAUGACUGCUAAUACCGCAUAAGCCUACAGUACCGCAUGGUACAGCAGGAAAAACUCCGGUGGUAUGAGAUGGACCCGCGUCUGAUUAGCUAGUUGGUGGGGUAACGGCCUACCAAGGCGACGAUCAGUAGCCGACCUGAGAGGGUGACCGGCCACAUUGGGACUGAGACACGGCCCAA